RNAcentral lists this ribosomal RNA (482 nucleotides) under uncultured bacterium. RNAcentral's name for it is "partial 16S ribosomal RNA". It matches the Rfam family "Bacterial small subunit ribosomal RNA", at positions 30 to 507 of the family's 1533-position model. The record is from RNAcentral.
AUUGAACGCUGGCGGCAUGCUUUACACAUGCAAGUCGAACGGCAGCGCGGGGCAACCUGGCGGCGAGUGGCGAACGGGUGAGUAAUACAUCGGAACGUACCCAGAAGUGGGGGAUAACGUAGCGAAAGUUACGCUAAUACCGCAUACGUUCUACGGAAGAAAGUGGGGGACCUUCGUGCCUCAUGCUUUUGGAGCGGCCGAUGUCUGAUUAGCUAGUUGGUGAGGUAAAGGCUCACCAAGGCGACGAUCAGUAGCUGGUCUGAGAGGACGACCGGCCACACUGGGACUGAGACACGGCCCAGACUCCUACGGGAGGCAGCAGUGGGGAAUUUUGGACAAUGGGCGCAAGCCUGAUCCAGCAAUGCCGCGUGAGUGAAGAAGGCCUUCGGGUUGUAAAGCUCUUUUGUCAGGGAAGAAACGGCUGAGGAUAAUACCUUCGGCUAAUGACGGUACCUGAAGAAUAAGCACCGGCUAACUACGUG